UACGGAGGGAGCUAGCGUUAUUCGGAAUUACUGGGCGUAAAGCGCACGUAGGCGGCUUUGUAAGUUAGAGGUGAAAGCCUGGAGCUCAACUCCAGAAUUGCCUUUAAGACUGCAUCGCUUGAAUCCAGGAGAGGUGAGUGGAAUUCCGAGUGUAGAGGUGAAAUUCGUAGAUAUUCGGAAGAACACCAGUGGCGAAGGCGGCUCACUGGACUGGUAUUGACGCUGAGGUGGCGAAAAGCGUGGGGAGCAAACAGGG
Molecule: ribosomal RNA, 256 nt
Filed under: uncultured bacterium
Lineage: Bacteria
Description: partial 16S ribosomal RNA
Rfam family: Bacterial small subunit ribosomal RNA
Source: RNAcentral